Molecule: long non-coding RNA, 239 nt
Filed under: Bos taurus (domestic cattle)
Lineage: Eukaryota; Metazoa; Chordata; Mammalia; Artiodactyla; Bovidae
Description: long non-coding RNA NONBTAT025870
Source: RNAcentral
AUGAAGAAUAAGAAAUGGAAUUUUAUUUGUGACACUAGUAACUUUAUUUUUUCCUAAACUGGAGAGAACAAAGAAGCAAACUACAUAUUCAAUGUUAAAUUCAAAAAUAGCAAUAAAUGUAGUAUAGGAAAGGCAGAACAAAAUGCAGGAAUUUGUGAUUUUGAUAUUUAAAAAACAGUCACUGGUUCAAUAUAGAAUGAAAUACCUCAUAGACAGAUUUCAGGCAAAUCUAGUCUUAA